UACGAAGGGUGCAAGCGUUACUCGGAAUUAUUGGGCGUAAAGAGCUUGUAGGCGGUUUGUCGCGUCUGCUGUGAAAAUCCGGGGCUCAACCCCGGACUUGCAGUGGGUACGGGCAGACUAGAGUGUGGUAGGGGAGACUGGAAUUCCUGGUGUAGCGGUGGAAUGCGCAGAUAUCAGGAGGAACACCGAUGGCGAAGGCAGGUCUCUGGGCCAUUACUGACACUGAGAAGCGAAAGCAUGGGGAGCGAACAGG
RNAcentral lists this ribosomal RNA (253 nucleotides) under uncultured bacterium. Its description in RNAcentral is "partial 16S ribosomal RNA". It matches the Rfam family "Bacterial small subunit ribosomal RNA", at positions 524 to 776 of the family's 1533-position model. The record is from RNAcentral.